CGUGUCGUGAGAUGUUGGGUUAAGUCCCGCANCGAGCGCAACCCUCGCCUUUAGUUGCCAUCAUUUAGUUGGGCACUCUAAAGGGACUGCCAGUGAUAAGCUGGAGGAAGGUGGGGAUGACGUCAAGUCCUCAUGGCCCUUACGGGCUGGGCUACACACGUGCUACAAUGGUGGUGACAGUGGGCAGCAAACACGCGAGUGUGAGCUAAUCUCCAAAAGCCAUCUCAGUUCGGAUUGCACUCUGCAACUU
This 250-nucleotide ribosomal RNA is filed under the name Ochrobactrum sp. MBR2.28. RNAcentral describes it as "partial 16S ribosomal RNA". It matches the Rfam family "Bacterial small subunit ribosomal RNA", at positions 1061 to 1313 of the family's 1533-position model. Lineage: Bacteria; Pseudomonadati; Pseudomonadota; Alphaproteobacteria; Hyphomicrobiales; Brucellaceae. The record is from RNAcentral.